GUGGUGUCGUCGGGGAGGCUAACUGGAGCAGUUGAAGCUAAUCGGUGAGUACAUCAUCUUUAAUAUGGCAACUCGGUCAAUGUAUCUUACAGCUGUUGUAUAUUAGUGUAACUUUAGGUGCAGCAGCAGCCAGCACUGAACCGGCCUAUUCUCUGUACUCCACAGACUCCGAGGAUCAGGUAAUGAAGUCACCACGCUCCAUAAAGGUCUGGACAGAUGUGCUGUGCUGCUCAGUGGCAUCCUCCAGGCAGAAAAAGCAGGUUCGCCAAGUUUUCCCAGGAUGGUGAAAAGCGUGAAAAGUUCUGCCUCUCUAGGAAGGAACAUUAUUAAGGAACCGCCUACAAAGACGGCUCCAAACCACCAAAAGAGCUCCCCGUCAGCCACCGCGACUCCUGGAGUGAAGCUGCAUCCGCCUCAGAAACAACCCCAUGCUCUACCAGUGCAGGGUCCUUCGCGUGGCCUCUCCCGCACCGUGCCUCCACCCCAAACCUCCGUCCUUCUGUCUAUGCACCAGACAUCCUCUCUGCCACUGCAUCACCCCAAUAGCCCGAGGUCACAAACUAAGGCAGAGCGUGACGGAGAGCAAGAGGCUGUUCAUGUGAGAGAUGUCAAAAUCCAAAGUCCAGAGGCCGACCGCAAGGGUGCACGUGGCGGGGAGGAAAGCGGCGUGGACGCCAGAGUAAAGAUGGUUCAGUCUCUGCUGUCAGAGCUCAGGACUCUUAUCACUGGACAAGGCAGCGUCACGGAGAAGCUGCUCAGUCACCUGGAACAAACUGUGUCCUCACCACAGACCAACAUCCAGACUGAGUAUGCACAAGAGCUAUCAUCGCUGCAGAGCGAGAACGCUCAGCUCCGCCGGCGUGUGAAGAUUCUGAACCAGCAAUUAAAAGAGAGAGAAAAGGUGGAGAAACAUCAAAACCUGGAAAUACUCUGCACCUCAGAUGCACUUAGUCUGCAGGAGGAGCUGUUCACGGCUCGAUCCAGACUGCGGGAGCUCCAGGACGAUCUCGCCGGACUACAGAAAUCCCUUCAAUACACGCAGAGCCAGCUGAGAGGCAGAGAAUGCACUCUUGAAGAACGGAUUGGAGGCCACUCGAAGCAGGUUGAUGAACAGCGAGCAAGAGAAGAGCGAGCCAGCUUCACUCAGCCAGCAAAGACCAGAGGAGAUCAGAAACCUGAGCAGGCUUUUCCAGAGCUCAUCGGUCCAUUGUCCCAGCCACCGCCAGCGCGGACAGGAUCCUCCAUCAAAUCCUGGCAUCACAACUCAGCCAGAGGUAGAGUUUAACUCCACGCUGUCCCAGUGCGAUGUGGAGUCAAUGUGCUCCGAUUGGAGCAUGAGGUCAGAGUCCAGCUUCAACACCAGAGACGAGGCUGCUUUCAGGGACAGCCUGGCAGCUCUGGACGCCAGCAUAGCCAGUCUGCAGAAGACUAUUCGACUGGAAGUGAGGAGGUGAAGCAGUGGCCUGUAUUAGCAAC
Molecule: long non-coding RNA, 1476 nt
Organism: Parambassis ranga (Indian glassy fish)
Lineage: Eukaryota; Metazoa; Chordata; Actinopteri; Ambassidae
Product: coiled-coil domain containing 14
Source: Ensembl